This 22-nucleotide non-coding RNA is filed under the name Arabidopsis thaliana (thale cress). The record is from RNAcentral. Lineage: Eukaryota; Viridiplantae; Streptophyta; Magnoliopsida; Brassicales; Brassicaceae.
UGUGUCACGAUCAUCUUACUUG